AACGCGAAGAACCUUACCUACCCUUGACAUGGUUGGAAUCUUUGAGAGAUCAGAGAGUGCUCGCAAGAGAACCAAUACACAGGUGCUGCAUGGCUGUCGUCAGCUCGUGUCGUGAGAUGUUGGGUUAAGUCCCGCAACGAGCGCAACCCUUGUCAUUAAUUGCCAUCAUUUAGUUGGGCACUUUAAUGAGACUGCCGGUGACAAACCGGAGGAAGGUGGGGAUGACGUCAAGUCCUCAUGGCCCUUAUGGGUAGGGCUUCACACGUCAUACAAUGGUACAUACAGAGGGUUGCCAAGCCGCGAGGUGGAGCUAAUCCCAGAAAGUGUAUCGUAGUCCGGAUUGGAGUCUGCAACUCGACUCCAUGAAGUUGGAAUCGCUAGUAAUCGCGGAUCAGCAUGUCGCGGUGAAUACGUUCCCGGGCCUUGUA
This 428-nucleotide ribosomal RNA is filed under the name uncultured beta proteobacterium. RNAcentral describes it as "bacterial SSU rRNA". It matches the Rfam family "Bacterial small subunit ribosomal RNA", at positions 958 to 1385 of the family's 1533-position model. Lineage: Bacteria; Pseudomonadati; Pseudomonadota; Betaproteobacteria. The record is from RNAcentral.